RNAcentral lists this ribosomal RNA (437 nucleotides) under uncultured bacterium. RNAcentral's name for it is "bacterial SSU rRNA". It matches the Rfam family "Bacterial small subunit ribosomal RNA", at positions 355 to 804 of the family's 1533-position model. The record is from RNAcentral.
UCAAGAAACUUCCACAAUGGGCGAAAGCCUGAUGGAGCGACGUCGCGUGAUGGACGAAGUGCUUCGGCACGUAAACAUCUUUUAUGUGGGAUGAAAUUAUUGACAGUACCACAUGAAUAAGGGGCUCCUAACUCUGUGCCAGCAGGAGCGGUAAUACAGAGGCCCCAAGCGUUAUCCGGAAUCACUGGGCGUAAAGGGUGUCGAGGCGGUUGUAUUAGUCGUUCGUAAAAUCUACGAGCUUAACUUGUAGGCGGCGAACGAAACGGUACGACUUGAGGUUUGGAGAGGUGCGUGGAACUCACGGUGUAGGGGUGAAAUCCGUUGAUAUCGUGGGGAACACCAAAGGCGAAGGCAGCGCACUGGCCAAAAUCUGACGCUCACACACGAAAGCUAGGGUAGCGAAGAGGAUUAGAUACCCAUGUAGUCCCUGAGCGGGC